GCCUGGAGCCUGCUUUUGGAUUCUGGGUCUCCCUGUCUCCGCCCCUCCCCCACUGUCUGUCUCUCUCAAAAAUGAAUAAACAUUUAAAAAAAAUUUUUUUAAUUACUUUUAUUUGUGGGGGAAGAGGUCAGCUACAUAUUCUGUUAAUCUUCUUCCAGAAUAAAGUUGUGUCUUCUAUGGCACACAUAGCAGUCAGGGGGCUUAGCAAGUCUUCAAUGAGUAUUUGGGAAAGCCUGAAGCUCUUUUUGAUAGAAUUAACAGCAUCUACCUACCUCUCUGUUGUCCCCAUCUUUGCUGAUGUGAAGUGUGAAUGCAAAUUGUAAACUCUUACACCAUACUGAUAGCUUGCUUACCCUGGUACCUAAAGUGUAAGGUUUUCAUUUUAACCUACAACACCUAUCUGGUGAUAGCAGUUUAAGAUUUAAAGAUACACCAUUAUCACUCACUUGUCACUUGUCAGCCUUACUGAAGUUGGAAUAUUAGAAAUAACCAGUUUGAUUAGCAUGAUACUAUUUGUUUUUGUUAUUAGGUUCUUCAAAAUCUAUAUCAGAAUUGUUAGAUCAUUAGAUACGGAUUUUAUUUUUAUCUUAAUGAGUUAAGAAUUAACAUUCUAAUUUUUUUUUUUUUUACAUUUAAUUUUGAGAGAGAGAGAGAGAGACAGAGCGCAAGCAGGGGAGGGGUAGAGAGUAAAGGAGACACCGAAUCUCAAGCAGACUCCAGGCUUAGAGCUGUCAGCACAGAGCCCAACUCAAGGCUUAAACUCAUAAACCGUGAGACCAUGACCUGAGCCGAAGUCAGCUCAACUCACUGAACCGCCCCGGUGCCCCAAGAAUUAAUGUUCUACAUUCAGCCUUGAUAUCAUCACAUAUAAGAAUUUUGGUGAUAUUAUUAGUGUUCAGUAAUAUCUGUUCUCCUUUAUUCCUGGCAAGAGGAAAAUUACACUUCCAAGCCUCCCUGUAGGUAGACAGUUACCUCUGACCAGUUAAAAGUGAGUGGAAAUAGUGUGUGUCACUCUCAGACUGGGCCAGUGACCAACCCAUUUCCUUUGCCAUGGCAUUGUAGAGAAGGCCUCAGGUGACAUGGUGGGGCGACAAGAUCAAAGAGGCCUUGAUUUCUGAGUGACCACAUGGAGGUCAGCUGGACCCUCAGUGGACUUUGCAUGAUGAAAAAAUAUAAACUUUUACUCUGUUAAGCUGCUGAGAUUGUGUGUGUGGUUGUUAAGCCACUGAGAUCUUAGGGGAGGGGGAUAUGUAUGUUUAACCACAGCAGAGCCUAGCUUAUCCUGAGUGAAAAUUUAGUAUUAAACAACUGGCUUUUACAGGCAAAUGGAGAAAAAAUCAUCUGCUUGAGAAGAGCUUCUAUAUCUUCUAAUAAGUCAAACUAGAAAAAUUAUUAAAAAUUUAUUAAAAAUUUAAAAAUAAAGCUUUUGUUUUUAUUUUGAUGGAAUUAGGAGAAUUUGAAUAUCUUUGUAGCAUGAGAGUAAAAAUGGAAUGUGACUUUUUGAAUUAUUGGCUGAUUCUGGCUAAAGGACUUAAUCACUUCCAUUGACUGCAGGUACUACUUCAAAAUGAAAAAGUUGACAGGAUUUGGAUAAAUCAAUUCUUAGGUGGUUCUGAUUGGGCAAUUUUACAGGACAGAAAAUGGCUGUCUAGUUUGUGAUAUGAAUUUAAAGGAAGCCAGGACACUGAGGGUAAAAGCCAUGAUGUCAUGUUUGGCUUGUUCUUUCCAUUGCAGUUUUUUACAGCAGCUUUAUUUUUAUUUUCCAUUUGCAGCUUUAUUUUUUACAGCACUUGCAGGUUCACAACAAAAUUGAGCACAAGGAAGCUGCAUCACUGUGUCUGGGAAAGGCGCUAAGCUGGUGUGAGAAGGCAGACCUGGGUUUUGGCUGCUCAACAGCGUUACAAUCCCAGCCACACUCUCUCCUUCCCUGGGUCCUGUUCCUCAUCAGAGGGCUAUGGAAAAGGUCACACACAAACAGAGUGCUUGGGUGGCUCAGUCGCUUAAGUGUCUGACUCUUGAUCUCAGCUCAGGUCAUGAUCUCGCAGUUUUGUGGUUUUGAGCCCCGCUUGGGAUUCUGUCUCUCCCUUUCUCUCUGCCCCUCACCUGCUUGUGCUCUCUCUCUCUCUCCCUCUCAAAAUAAAUAAAUAAACAAACAAACCAAAGUGGAUCUUUACAUUUCUUUCCAGCUCUGUCUUUUCCUGCUUUACCUAGCAGCCACUUGGAUUGAAGUGUUUUAAUAAUUGAUACAGUUACUGAAAAGAAUUUUAUAUUUCCCAUUUAAUUAAGAAAAAGUUCAUCAAAUUGCUUUACGGUUAUGAAUUUAUUGAUUCUCCACUCCACCUCAAUAAGUUUCCUUGUACCAACCUCCCAGGGGACAAACUAAAAGUAAGGUAUGACAUUGUUUUCAUUCCUAAGUUACAUAACCAAUUUCAGUGUGGAAUAUGAUUUAAACAGGCAGGAAGAAACACUGCUUUUUAUGAGAGGAAUUUAAAAGUGGAGAUGAUGGAUUUAACACUUCAACUCUCACAGACAAAAAGUGUCUGUAGGAAUUUUAAAAUGUAGGUGUUAUUUUUUAUAUAGAUAUUAUUUUUAAAUAAUAAUACAUUAAAAAUAUAAUGCUAAUAUUAAAUUAACUUAAAUGAACUAUUUCCAGUUUGGAGUGUGUGAUUGCAAACAAAUCUGCUAAUUCAAAGAGAUUUCCUUCCUUCCUCCACAGACCCUCUUUUCUUCUUCUCUGAUAAUCAUUGAUUGUGUUCCCCAUAAUGAAGCACCCCACAGGACAGCAGCAUUGCCUAUAGGUUACAAUGUGAAUGGAGAACACUGGAGUUGUGCAAACAGGAGCCCUGCUGGGCACUGGGGAUACAAAAUCAGCUAGGACUGGUGCCUUGCCCUUUAAAAGCCAACAGUGAAAUCAGAGGAACCUGUAAAGAGGCAGAAUAGAGCAGAAGGUAAACAGAAGGUGGGACAAGAGACAAAGCACUUGGGCUUCUAAGUGAGGCUCUGGGAAGCCUUGAGUCCUUAACUCCUCUCUUUCUCUCAUUCCAUUUCUAGUCUAGCCACCUCUUCUCACCCCUGCACUGCUCCUGCCAGACCCAUCUCUUCUGAUUAAUGUAAUCAACUCCUAUUUCUUGCUUCCAUUUUGACUCCCUUUCCCCCACCCUCCACCUUCUUCUCCAUAAUCUCUUCUCUAGAGGGCACCAGAAUAGAAAGAAUAGAAUAGAAUAGAAUAGAAUAGAAUAGAAUAGAAUAGAAUAGAACAGCUCCCCACCACUUCACACUUCACUCAGUUUGAAAACCAAAGUCCUAUGAUAGCUACAAGGUCCUAUAGAAUCUGACUUCCCACCCCUCCUCUUUUAUCUCAGACCUCAUCUGCUAUUUUCCCUCAUUUACUCUUCUCCCUCCACACCUUUCUAGUUCCUCAAACACACCAGGCACUUGGCAUAUUCCUGCCUCGGGACUUUUGCACUAGCCAGUUCCUUCUCCCAAGGAUGCUCUUCCCCCAUACCGCCAUAGGGUAACUCCUUUCCUUCCAUCAGGUCUUGGUAAAAGGUCCCCUGCUUAAUUCAGCCACCCUAACUACCCUAUUUAAUACCGCAACCUGCCAAUCACAUACUGACUCCCCUUUCCCUAGGCCCUUCUCUUCAUUUGAUUCCUUACCACCUUCAAACACACUAAAUAAUUUACUUAUAAUGUCUGUUCUCUUUUGUUCAUUUCUUGCCACAAGAAUAUAAGCUCCAUGAAGGCAGAGUUCUUUGUUUUCUUCUCUCAUAUUUUGCAAGCACUGAGAACAAUGCCUGGAACAUAACAGGUGCACCAAAACCACUAGAAGAAAAGAAAAAGAAAGAGAAAGAGAAAGCAAGAAAAGAAAGGAAGGAGGAAAGAAAGAAAGAAAAAGAAGGAGUAAAGAAAGAAAGAGGGAGGAAAGAAGGAGGGAAGGAAGAGAGGAAGGGAGGAAGGAAAAAGGUAGGUUGAAGCCUCCUCUGGUCACCCACUAUACUAUCAUACCUCUACCAUAGCACUUAAUCUUUAGAUCUUCUGUCUCUCCCAAAAACUGAAAAGCAUCACCCUGGGCAAGCUGCUUAGCAUCUCUGAGUCUGUUUCAUUACUGUUAACAGAGAUUGAUGAGUUACUAUAUUUACCUAAUAGGGUCAUUGUGUGGAUCAAAUGAGUUCUUACCUGAAAGGACUAGCACAGUGCCUGGCCCAUGGAAAGUCCUUAGUAAAAGUUAGCUGUUGUUAUUGUUAUUAAAACUGUGGCCCAGGGCCAAAGGGCAUAGUGGGUGCUGAGUGAAUGAAAGAGCUCCUGGCUGCUUGACUCAAAAGUGAUGGCUCUGAGGCAGGAGCUGGGAACUGGGAGCCUGGGCUAGGUGAAGCUGGAAAGGAAUGUUGGUGGGGGGCUCUGUGGUGCCCCCCUGAGGAGGAAUGUGGACUUGAUCCAUGGGCCAUAGGUGAGUUCUGUGUUUUGGGAAGUGUAUGGAGAAAGGAUUAUUAGCAAAAUGGGAAGGGAAGGACAGUGGGGGGUGGGGAGAUCAGGGGUGGGGUUAGGAGGAUGUUGACUCAUCUAGAAAGGAAUAAUGAGCCCUUGGGUAAGACAACUGUCCUCACGACAGAUGGUGGAGACAUUUUGGAGAGAAUCAACUCCUUCAAAGCAAGCUCAGGAAGGCAAUCUGCUUUUUGCGUGCUCUAUAGGGUAGCAAAAAUAAGAUUAACAUGAGUUAUAUUGAUUCUUACCUACCAUUAAUUUCUAAAUAGACUUUACUUUUUAUUAACAGGCUCUUUGGUCUAUUAUUCAAUAGAGAAGCAGACUGUUUUUCUCAUGGGGAAUGUUUAGACUAGAAAAAAAAAAAAAAAAAAAGGAAAUUCUUUCCCUGCUAGGUAAUAAAAAGAUGAAGCAAGCAUGGCCAAAAUACAAUGUGAAGGAAAGCUCUGGAACCCGCUGUCGUAAAACAGUUCUCGUCAAACCUCAGUGGGUACUGUAGAAGUUCCUCUUGAAGGUUAAAACAGAAAAUACACACAUUCUGAUUAAAACUCAUCUGAGUUCUGAUAGCCGCUGACAAUGGUUUGAAAAUUUAGGCAUUUUAAGAUCUCCAUAAAGUGAUUUUCUAAGCAACAAAAGGGCAAUGCUUUGAUAAGGCUGCAGGGUAAGAUGAAUCCCCACAGCCUGGAGUUAAGAUGCCAGAGAUGAAGGCUCCUUUUCCACACACAUUGGCUACCAAUUGACAGCUCCUGCCCCUGAAACUUAACUGCCUUUUCUCUUGGACCAGGAAGUUUCACAGUGUGUUGUCAGUCUUUGAUGCUCAGGUGGUGUGAAAAAUUUUAAAAACCAACACCCACCACCCCCACCACCACCACAAACUCUAACACCUCCUGGUCCUGGUGACAGCCCGUUCUCCUGCUUUGGUUUCCUGCUCAGCUUCCCUUCCUUACUAGCAUCUUCUAGCAUUGCAAAAUCAGGCCACCGUUAUUGUUAAAGUAUUUCUCAUCUCUCUCAGGAGCCACAUCUCUUGGGAACCAUAUCUCCCAGAAUUUUGAACCGUGCCGUGUUGAAGACACUGAGACAUGUCUGCAGGGCCCUUUGACAUGCAUGGGAGUUGUUUAAAUGCUGGCUGAGAGCCAUGACUUGUUCUGUUCUCUGGUGAUUGCCACCUCCAAGACAAAAUGGCUAUUUUCUUGCCAAUUCUUUUUUAAUGGCCAAAAUUGGGUCCAGAGGAGCAGUUUCCUUUAGUCUCUGAGAUAAAAUGGUCAGCAAAGCAAGGCUUAAGUGCCAGGCACAGUGCUUCCGGCCCAGUGAGACUCCUUUUGGGAGGAGGGAUGCUGCAGGCAGGCAGGAGAGGAACCACCUGGAGCGGGGGCAUCAGAGAGCUCAGGUACCUGCAGGGUGUGCAAGUCCAGCCGCAAGCUUUCCUACUGGGCACUUAGAAACACUUUCAUUCUCUGAAACUUUGCUUCCUUUGUGAAUGUUUCUCUGGUCAUUUCAUCCAGUGGUUCUCAAAGUAUAGUUCUGAGACCAGUAGCACACGCACCAUCUGGGAACAAGUUAUAAAUGCAUGUUGGCCCCACCACACACCCCCUGAAUGAGAAACUUGGGGCUGGGUCCAGGAAUCUGUUUUAACAAGCCUUCUGGGUAAUUCUAGUGCAGGCGGUCAGGUGCGAAACUACCAAUUUGAACCACUGUUUCUAUUGGUGUGGAUCAUCAAACCGCUUUACUUCUAAUUUAGAAAGUCUUUCCUUUGUAAUUCUGCACACCUGAAGUUGCCUCCUUGUAAGGCUGCUGACAGCAACAACCUCCGUGACAGGAAGGGAAGAAGCACGGUGUUGGGAAACGCCUGGGGAGGCAAUCUCAGACCUGCUGGUGCCUGCUUUCCAUCUUCACACCUUUAAAAAGAGAGAGAACUCACAAGUAGGAGGAAAAAAAAAACCCAUUAAAGAGAAAAACAACUGCUGUUUUGAAUCAGUAGCACAGCAAAUUGAAGAGAUAGCCAUAAAACAUUUUUACUUCUGACAAGAGAAUCCCUUUAGGGCAGGUAAUGGUCUGUUAAAUAUCAAAGGAGCAGACCAAGGACCUGAGGAUAUUAAUAAGGAGAAGAGGUGAGGUGGGAAGAGGGGAAGGAUUUGAGCUCUGCCUUCAACUAACUGGCUGCAGCCCAAAGGGAAGAAGACCGGGAAAAGGACCAAUGCAGAGAACCAUGGAGGCUUUGGGGACUCCUUACGAUCAUUAGAGCUGCCCAAUAAUAGAAAGGCAUCUUAGGGGCAAUAAGGAGCCUCCUGGCUCAUAGAGCAUGUAAGUCUGGAUGGCCACGUGACAAAGAUGCCAUAGUAAAGGGAAUUCUUGUAUCAGGCAAGAAGCCGCCAUAGGGCUAGGGUUUUGCAGACUUAUUACUAUUAUUUUUUAAUCAGAACUCCUUCAAGCUAGAAAGUACACCAUGGUACCUAAAUUUAUAAAACAGUUUGAAGAGAGGCCUCUUUAGUGAUCCCUGGGGCACUGUCUGAUUCUGUGGUGCUUUGAUAACUUUUCGAACCAGAACUUCUCUUUCCUCUCUAGGCUUAUCCUGAGCUCCCCAAGAGCUUCCUUCAACGUGGUAUCACCAAGAUGGUGAUGUUUAAAGGGGGUGGGACAAAUCCAAGAGUGUGUGCUUCUGCAGCCACAUGGCUCACAUUUCUUCCUCAGGGAUGGCACGCAGUGAAGGCCUUCCAAGUUGAGGCUGAGGAUCAUAGUGGCAGGGAGAGAGCUGAGGCUGUGAUUGGAGCUCACUCAAGUGGGACAUGCCUGUCUUCAGCCAGCUUUAGUGCAGACAUGACAAAGCAGGCAGACCCCAAAGCCUGGGCCAACAGUGAUGAUAACUCAAGUCUCUCUUAUAAAUAUCUAACAGGCAGAAAAUGCUUUCCCUUCAGGAGGGCACACAAAGACUAACACCAAGGAGAACUUAUUAUGGUACAGCCGCUUCUCUGGUUGGCAAGAGGUAGGGCUGUGACCUGGAGCUGAUUAUGUUUAUUUAAAUUUUAAAAAAUUUUAUUUUUAGAG
This is a long non-coding RNA of Felis catus (domestic cat), 7521 nucleotides long. RefSeq lists it as uncharacterized. The transcript has 3 exons. The record is from RefSeq and is a predicted model, not a curated record. Lineage: Eukaryota; Metazoa; Chordata; Mammalia; Carnivora; Felidae.